Molecule: ribosomal RNA, 432 nt
Filed under: uncultured bacterium
Lineage: Bacteria
Description: partial 16S ribosomal RNA
Rfam family: Bacterial small subunit ribosomal RNA
Source: RNAcentral
AACGAACGCUGGCGGCAUGCCUAACACAUGCAAGUCGAACGAGACCUUCGGGUCUAGUGGCGCACGGGUGCGUAACGCGUGGGAACCUGCCCUUAGGUUCGGAAUAACUCCCCGAAAGGGGUGCUAAUACCGGAUAAUGUCUUCGGACCAAAGAUUUAUCGCCUUUGGAUGGGCCCGCGUUGGAUUAGCUAGUUGGUAGGGUAAAAGCCUACCAAGGCGACGAUCCAUAGCUGGUCUGAGAGGAUGAUCAGCCACACUGGGACUGAGACACGGCCCAGACUCCUAUGGGAGGCAGCAGUGGGGAAUAUUGGACAAUGGGCGAAAGCCUGAUCCAGCAAUGCCGCGUGAGUGAUGAAGGCCUUAGGGUUGUAAAGCUCUUUUACCCGGGAUGAUAAUGACAGUACCGGGAGAAUAAGCUCCGGCUAACUCCGU